RNAcentral lists this ribosomal RNA (2917 nucleotides) under hot springs metagenome. RNAcentral describes it as "bacterial LSU rRNA". The stretch from base 1 to 2267 matches the Rfam family "Bacterial large subunit ribosomal RNA". The record is from RNAcentral.
GUAAGGGCAUGCGGUGGAUGCCUUGGCGCCAGGGGCCGAUGAAGGGCGCGGCACACUGCGAAAAGCCUCGGGGAGCCGUGUGCGGGCGCGAUGACCCGGGGGUGCCCGAAUGGGGAAACCCGCCUGGGGUGAACCCCAGGCAUCCGUGGCUGAAUCCAUAGGCCACGGAGGGGCACGGGGGGAACUGAAACAUCUUAGUACCCCCAGGAAAAGAAAUCAACCGAGAUUCCCCUAGUAGUGGCGAGCGAACGGGGAAGAGCCCAAACCCACAGGGUGUUAAAGCCCGAGGGCGUUGCCCUGUGGGGGUUGUGGGACCUAUCCGGGGGCGGCCUCGGACGCCUCAGGGAGUUACCAAGCCUUGGCCUAGCCGAAGCGGUCUGGAAAGGCCCGCCAUAGAGGGUGAUAGCCCCGUAGGCGAAAGGUCGAAGGCCUCCCGGGGAUGGGAUCCCGAGUACCACGGCCCACGUGGAAGGUCGUGGGAAGCAGGGGGGACCACCCUCCAAGGCUAAAUACCCCUGGCGACCGAUAGCGCACCAGUACCGUGAGGGAAAGGUGAAAAGAACCCCGGUGAGGGGAGUGAAAUAGAACCUGAAACCGCAUGCCUACAAGCGGUCCGAGGGCUAUGGCCCCUUUGGGGGCAAUGCCUGAGGGCGUGCCUUUUGGAGAAUGAGCCGGCGAGUUACUCUCGGUGGCGAAGGCUAAGGGGGUCACACCCGGAGCCGGAGCGAAAGCGAGUCCGAACAGGGCGUCUCGUCGCCGGGAGUAGACGCGAAACCGGGUGAGCUACCCAUGGCCAGGGUGAAGCGGGGCUAAUCCCCCGUGGAGGCCCGAACCCAUCACCAGUGCAAAGGUGUGGGAUGAGCUGUGGGUAGGGGUGAUAUGCCAAUCGAACCCGGAGAUAGCUCGUUCUCCCCGAAAUAGCUUUAGGGCUAGCCUCACGCGGUCCGUGGCGGAGGUAGAGCACUGGUAGGGCUAGGGGCGUUAUGCUACCGAACCCUGUCAAACUCCGAAUGCCGCCACGUGCAGCGUGGGAGUCGGACCGUGGGGGAUAACCUCCAUGGUCGAGAGGGGAACAACCCAGACCGCCUGCUAAGGCCCCCAAGUCCGGGCUCAGUGGGAAAGGAUGUGGGGCUGCUAUGACAGCCAGGAGGUUGGCUUAGAAGCAGCCAUCCUUUAAAGAGUGCGUAACAGCUCACUGGUCGAGCGGCCCUGCGCCGAAAAUGUAACGGGGCUUAAGCCCGGCGCCGAAGCAGCGGGUUCUCGUGCCGAUGAGGCACGGGAGCGGUAGGGGAGCGUUCCGCACGCGUGGAAGCGCGACCGUGAGGACGCGUGGAGCGUGCGGAAGUGAGAAUGCCGGCACGAGUAGCGGAAGACGCGUGAGAACCGCGUCCGCCGAAGGCCUAAGGUUUCCGACGCAAGGUCGAUCCGCGUCGGGUUAGGCGGGACCUAAGGCGAGGCCGAAAGGCGUAGCCGAUGGACAGCCGGUUAAUAUUCCGGCCCCACCCGGGUGGAGCGAAGGGGGGACGCAGGAGGGUAGGCCAGCCGGCCGCUGGCUGUGCCGGUGCCAAGUCCUUAGGGCGAUGAAGGCGGUAGGCAAAUCCGCCGCCGGAGCCUGAGGGAUGAUGGCGAGCCGGGGAAACCCGGCGGAAGUGGUCGAGCCCACACUGCCGAGAAAAGCCUCUAAGCGUUGAAGCCCGGGUGCCCGUACCGCAAACCGACACCGGUAGGCUGGCGUAAGCGCGCCAAGGCGGACGGGAGAACCCUCCUCAGGGAACUCGGCAAACUGACCCCGUAACUUCGGGAGAAGGGGUGCCUCGCGUAGGGUGAGGCCUUCGGGCCGAGCCCGAGGAGGCCGCAGUGAACAGGCCCUGGCGACUGGUUACCUAAACCACAGGUCUCUGCUAACCCGUAAGGGGAAGUAUAGGGGCCGACGCCUGCCCAGUGCCGGAAGGUUAAGGGGAGGGGUGACCCGGCUUCGGCCGGUGUAGCCCUGAACUGAAGCCCCGGUGAACGGCGGCCGUAACUAUAGACCGGACCGCUGUAGUUACGUAAAUAAACCCGGCUAUAUGCUGGGAAGUCCGUCCCCUAACAGGGGUGAAGGAUCCGGCGGUACCUAACGGCUGCAUGCCGUUGGGUAACAAUCCGUCCGGUGCGGACCAUCAGCAGGAAAGGCUCCCUGGGUUGCCUUUCCGGAGGAAGGAGUGAUGCCUCUGGACGUGAGACAUAUCCCUCCUCACAUCGGUUACUACUUGACGGGGUUUGCCGAUGGUGAGGGAAGCUUCAACGUUACAUUUCGGCGCCGCCGAGACUACCGGAUGCCAUGGAAGGUGUCCCUCUGCUUCAAUGUGAGUAAUCGAGAUAGAGUUAUCCUUGCCCUCUUCAAGCGCUAUCUCCAAUGUGGCACGUUACGGCAACGGGGAGACGGGGUCUGGUACUAUGAGGUCAACGACUUCAAUGCGAUCCUGGGCCACGUCAUCCCCUUCUUCGAGCGGUUUCCUUUCCUAUCUGCGAAGAAGCGGCGAGACUUCUCGAAGUUCAAGGAAAUCGCCAAAAUCAUGGAAGAAGGACGUCACAACACAGAAGAGGGCGUUCGGGAAAUCUUGCGCAUCCGGCGAGAGAUGAACGACGGUGGCGCUGGGAGGCGAAAGUAUAGCGAUGAAGAAAUCCUCCGGACUCUCACCCAGGGAGAAUCCUCAGAGACCAUACGCCGGGCACCCGAGGGGUAUGCAAGCGCCGCCCGCCCCAUCGGGUGAAGAGAUGGUCCGAUCUCCGUGGCGACACGGAGGGCCUGAGCACCUGCUCGGGCCGCACCAGACGGGGCAUCCAGACCCGUUUGCUGGUGUAACGGAAUGAACGGUCCUAAGGUAUCGCCUGAAAGGCGCUGCCUGCCUGUCGGGUAACCGACAGGGCAAUGCCC